This 5036-nucleotide long non-coding RNA is filed under the name Sus scrofa (pig). RNAcentral describes it as "lncRNA (ENSSSCG00015027791.1)". The record is from RNAcentral. Lineage: Eukaryota; Metazoa; Chordata; Mammalia; Artiodactyla; Suidae.
CUUGGGCCACUCCCGUGGCAUAUGGAGGGCCCCAGGCUAGUGGUCUAAUCGGAGCUGCAGCUGCCAGCCUAUACCACAGCCACAGCAACGCGGGAUCCAAGCCGAGUCUGCAACCUACACCACAGUUCACGGCAACGCCGGACUGUUAACCCACUGAGCAAGGGCAGGGACCGAACCCGCAACCUCAUGGUUCCUAGUCGGAUUCGUUAACCACUGCGCCACGACGGGAACUCCUAUAGGAGUGGCCAGCUUGCUGGAGAAUAACAUCAAUUUCAAAUUCUUGGCUUGGGUAUAGAAUUCAUAGGCCGGCCACUUCUUCCAUUUGGCAGAGACAAAAUCAAGUCCAUCGGAUGGUGGCUUUGCAUGUCCAUACUUGUCAGCGUGACCAAAGCACAGCCUUAAGGGAGCAAAGGCUACAGCAAGAUGAAGAAGUUCAAACUCAAAAGUGAGAUUCACUGGUUUCAAGGAAUUUUUUUUUUUUUAAAUGAGACUCUCAUUCCUUAAAGACAUACCCUCAACUGAAAAUACACACGCCAAAACCAAAACAACCCAAAAAAACCCCACCAUGAAUUACUCUUUCACCAAAUUCCUACAAAACCACGGUGGAUCAGCCUAUUCAUAAGAAAAUGACGUCUUCCACAGCAUGUAUCUCAAGCAAAAACUAAGCUGGGCAAAUAGUCAAGCCUAUUUUCUUUACUGUUCUAGGACAUUUCAUGGUGUCUAUUUCUCAGUAUUGGGUUUCUAAUUAAACUGGAUUUGCUUAGGUUUGUUUGAAAUGGUAUGUAUAUACAUUUAGCUAUUAAUAAGUAUAACAAUAUACUUGUAGUAAGUUCAUUAUAUACUUAUAUGAUAUACAUAGAAUAUGUUAUUAACUCAUCAGUAAGUAUAAGAAAUCAUCGGCUGACUGUGGCCCCAAGUUGUCCCAGAGGGGAUUUGAAUUUUUGGGGGGUGUACACCACAGCAAUUUAUAAUUUUUAAGGGUUAUACUCCAUUUAUAGUUAUAUUGGCUGUAUUUCCUAUGAUUUACAAUACAUCCUUGUAGUUUAUUUAAUUUUUGCUUUUUAGGGCCACACCUACGGCAUAUGGAAGUUCCCAGGCUAGGGGUUGAAUGGGAGCUACAGCUGCCAGCCUACACCACAGCCACAGCAACUCGGGAUUUGAGCUGCAUCUGCAACCAACACCACAGCUCACAGUAACACUGGAUCCCCGACCCACUGAGCGAGGUCAGGGAUCAAACUCACAUCCUCAUGGAUACUCAUUGGAUUUUUUUCCACUGUAGCACAACAGGGAACUCCUAUUUUAUACUUAGUGGUUUGUACCUCUUAAUCCCCUACCCCUGUUGCCCUCCUUCCCUCUCCCUGGUAACCACUAGUUUAUUCUUGGUAUCUGUUUUGUUUUUUUUUUAAAUAUUCACUCAUUUGUUGUAUUUUUCAGAUUCCACAUAUAAGUGAUAUCACAUAGCAUUUGUCUUUCUCUGACUUAUAUCACUUAGCAUAAUGCCCUCUAAGUCCAUCCAUGUUGUUACAAAUGGCAACAUUUCCUUCUUAGGAGGCACAUGGGGGUUUAAUAAACCUACUGAGGAUAAAGCUCAGCAGCUGUUCCAUGCCCUAAGCAAGUUGUCUGCUGAUUUCUUAGCAUGAACAAUUAAACCUGAAAAUAAACUUUUUAUUAAAUGCAAAGCUAGAGUUAUUAAAAGUGGCAUAUACUGGGCUAUGACUUCACUGAUAAUUGAAUUAGUACACUGUCAUUUUUCUUUACUUUGCCUCAAUGUGUUCUUCAUUAAAGUGAAAAAAAUAACAAUUUUUAAAAAAGCAUAUUAUCCUUAAUCCAUUGCAUUAGCCUAGUUAUUAGUUAAAUCAUUGUUGGAAGGAAAAGUGGUCCCACUGCUGUUCUUCUAUUAAAUGACUAUAACUUUAAAUGAGCUGUAGCUAACGGAAGAGAGCUCAGACUGUCUUCUGAAACUGUAGCAGUUGCAAGAAAACAAAAAUACAGAAGUUCCAAUUACUUCCUAAUGUUCACUUCACAUAUCAUAUAUGAAAUCAAAUUCCAGAAAUUAUAAUGUCCAUUCCUGUGAAAUGGCUGCAAAUUCAACCUGGUUUUAAAAUUUUGUGUUGAAGAAAGAUUUUUUUUUUAAAAAAAAGAACUUAAAAUCUUUACCAAGCACCUGGUAGGUCUACUGAUGUUGUUUUUAGUUCUACUGACAAGCUCUAUAAAACACAGGUGCUUAGGAGUUCCCGUUGCGGCUCAGCAGUUAACGAACACGACUAGGAUUCAUGAGGAUGUGGAUUCGAUCCCUGGCCUCGUUCAGUGGGUUAAAGAUCUGGCGUUGCUGUGAGCUGUGGUAUAGGUUGCAGAAGCUGCUUGGAUCUGGUGUGUCUGUGACUGUGGUGUAGGCCAGCAGCUGUAGUUCUGAUUGGACCCCUUGCCUGGGAACCUCCAUAUGCCGCGGGUGUGGCCCUAGAAAAAUUAAAAAUAAAACAUAGGUGCUUAAAGUUGUUUUGUUUUUAAACAUUCUCACUCUAAGAUGGCACAAACUGUUAAGAAAGUAAUAUACUAAAACUAGGUAUUUGUAUUGCCAACCCAUAAUCCUGAAUAUCUUUUAUUCAGAACAUAGCUUGUGUAGCUUCCACUUGGUUCCUUAUUCAUUUUCUCCUUUCACUUUAUUAAAAUAAAUCAGUAAAACUAUCCACAAUUUAAGACAACAGCAAGGCCUAUAAAUGCAGGUUUCGGAUUCAAAUUUCUCUGGGAAAUGUUUUCCUUCCAAUUCUCUCUGCCCUGGGAUUUCAUGUUUUCCCUUUUAUUGGUGGCAUCCAAUACCUCCAAUUUUUAACAUUUUCAGACAUGUGUUUCUCUGUAGGUUAAAAGGAAGGAAGUUUAUUCAAACAGCUAAUUCCCAAGUUUAAAGUUCUCAUAUAAUGUAGUUUUUGCUCACGUCUCAAUGACAUAAUUCCCUAAGCUUAAACCAUCAAACAUGAUUACCUCUCUUUGUGCAAAAAGCCACAUACUACAAAUAGUUUUUGUCACAAAACGGUAUUCAUGUAUAAAAGAAAGAAUAGAUACAAGAUUUUACUUAUAAAAGAUUGCUAAAAUAUGUAGCUCCCUUAUAAUCAUAUACUGUUGAACUGCUCCAACUGACUAGUUCUCAACACCAUUUUCUCAGCAAACUUUGCUUUCUCUCUUCCUGCUAAGCAGAAACCUUAAAAAACAGAUCAGAAGCAUUUUAAUGAAGUAGAUGAAAACAGCCAAAAGUUCUUGAAGCCCUACAGAAAAACUGUAGAUGUGAUCAGGCCCUGACAUGUCACGUCUUCUGUACCCUCAUCGUCUCUCCUGCCCUAUUUCACAUACUCUGGUAAGUCGGUUCCUCUGGCUACUGGAUACGACCUGAGAUUUAAAAAGCAAAAACGCUGUCAUAAUACGCUUUGUAAAAUCUUGAAUGUCGUAAAGGAAGUGGAAGAGGCAUUUACCUACAGUGUGAUUUGGUUUUUGCCAUAAAAAAGCAAAUUUAAACCUGAGAAGUAAAGAGCCCAUUGACUGCAUUCACUUACAGGAGAACAAGACUUCCUGACAGAAGUUCAAAUGCACCCUACCCCGUGGGCUGGGGAGUGUUAUACACCCCACACUGUCUUGGGGUGAAGCAGGAUUAUGGCUACGACAAUACUCCACAGUGGCCAGAUGCCACAAGUACAGUCAGUAGCAACGGAGUCAUUUCUAAGUCAGCUACAGAAAGUAACCCCAAAUAUCACUUCCCUAGAAAUACUGGCCAGUGCUCUAUCGGGAAAAUAGAUUUUGAAGAAUGACCCAUAAAACUUCAAAAUUGAGACCCCAUUCCUUAUCAUUCAAUAGGAAAUUUAAAAAAGAAAACCGAAAGGAUUUCGCUUUCCUAACGCAUGGCUACUCCUCUGCUUGGUUGUUCUUAAAAAUAAUUUAUGUAAAGCAGGAUUUUCUCUAAAUAUACCGUGCUCUCUCAUACACAUUGCAAAUGAUAUUUGCAUACACCGAGUGUAUGCACUGAUACACACAUGGUAAAAAGUUAAAAAAUAUAGACUGCAUAAAUCAGAAGCUGAUUUUAAACAGACACCAACUUCAACAGAUUUGUUUGCAAUUUCUGAAUUCUUCAGGUAGAAAAGAUCUUUCUUGCUGGCUACGAUUGUAGAAGAUGUUUAUGUUCUAUAGAGUGUGCAAAAAUGCUUCUCCAUAUAAACAAAGAAAGAAAGGUUCCAGGAUCUUGGUAUUCUAACCUUGCCUUUGCUAUUAAAUAUCCAUCCAAUGACUGUGAGGAGACUGGUGAAAUCAGCCGGUCAUGCUACAGUAAACAUGGUAUUUUGUGCACUGCCCAAGACAUUUUUUCUCAUGAAUAUAAGUCACCUGCCAUUUAUUAUGAGAUUUUUUUUUCCCCGACUGACACCCCAUUAUGUAUAUUCAGUCAAGCUCAAACAAGAUUUCAAGUGAUCAAUACACUAUUGGUGCUGAAAGUCUAUUAGCCACUCUAGCAAUAAACUCUGCAGCGAAACGAAGAAUGGAGAAAUAUUUAGUGAACUGAAUUACACAGAAGUCCAUGUUUAGGGGCAAGGGAACAGAAAGAGGGAGGCAGAAAAGCAAGGGGAAGACAAGGGAAGGAAGACAUUUUUCCUAAUAAAAAUCAGCUUUCUGGAGCCUGACCAAUGAUCAAAUGCAUUAAAUGCCUAAGAAUUGUUUCAAAAAUAUCUUAAAUUACAUGGUGAGGUCUCUAAAGAAACAGGGAGGGGUCUUCCUCUGGGUCCCUUUCUGAGAACAGAGAGUUGCUUCCAUAAAGAACCAUACGUGGAAGUAUUUGAUAUCCCAAAGUGGAGAAGGCAGGCCGAUGGUAAAAUCCUGCACCAUCCAGUGUCUAUGUGUCCAAGAGCAAUGCCGUGUUUGAACACUUUUCACUUUAUAUCUGAAGCGUAGCAGAUCUCAACAGGGAGCUGAGCUCAAGAAGUAUUCUGGUUCAUCUAUGCAUUAGGAAAGCUAACUCAAUAGCCGCCAAAGGAUUUCACCUGGCACAAAAGAAUGCUGCU